Molecule: long non-coding RNA, 1770 nt
Organism: Sorghum bicolor (sorghum)
Lineage: Eukaryota; Viridiplantae; Streptophyta; Magnoliopsida; Poales; Poaceae
Exons: 5
Source: RefSeq, a predicted model, not a curated record
CCACUCACGCUCGACCGGACGCCUCACUCGCCUCUACCCGCACGGCGGCACGGUCCACUCGGCUUCUUGCACGAGCACAUGUUGUGCUCGCCCGCAGGCAUCGCCGUCGUUCCUCCCCACGUGCAGAGCCACCGCCGGCGCCGCUCCAGCGAGUAGAGCCACCACCGCCGCUCCUGCCGGCACGUCCGGCGCUCGCUAUCCACAGCCCCGUGUCCUUUCCCGACGUGCCCAUCCGUCUCGACCUCCCGGCGGCUGGCCCAUCUGCGUCGGCCGCAGGCGGCGGUCCAUGACCCUGCUCCAUCCUCUGCCGCGGUGACAUCGCUGCUUGCCGGACCUCGCACGCGAGGCACAUCCGUCUCGGUCUCCCCGUGUGCGGACAGAAUCGACGUGCUUCUCCAUGAUGUGUUCGAUUCAGCCCAUGAAUCUUCUCAACGAGCCUCAGCUUAUACUUGGGUUCUCAAGGCGUCCAGGAGCAGGGUAGCUGAUGUCCAGGACUCCAAGUCCAGGCAGUCUUGGAAUCAUCUGUUGGAGAUGCUUGGUGUAUAAUACAAGUAAUGGAUACUUCUACUGACUGGUCUAAUCCAAUUAUUGGUCAGAUGAAUUUUAAAUUCAUAACUUUGCCAUGCUACAGAAUGAAUAUGGAAGUUUAGAUGUUUUUGUAAAUACAGAAGCCUCUCUGUCUACUGCAAAAUAUUCCAUCUGUCAAUAACAUGGAAGCUUCCCUGUCCUGGAGUUCCUCUUCCAACUAGACGAAGAAGAGGUUGAGUGGAUCCAGCACUCGACUGUGGCAAGGAUUGGGGAGAGACUACUGCCAAUUUUGCAUGUCUGUUCACAGGAGAGCUGUUGACUGAACUGAAUUUUGCCGGGGCUAGACUCAAUGAACUGCUCAUUAGUUCCUAUGGCUGGGCAAUUUUACCCACAUCCUAAGAUCCGUGCACCAGUAACAGGUGACUGUUGGCCAGGAGGCUUAUUUUGCCUACUUGAGAUGAGCAAAUAGUGUCUAGACAGCGGGCGGCAAUGCCAUCAGUUGGUGGCACCAGUGUGCGCCGAGCACAAGGCGUCUCCGGAUGCCCGCAGACAUCAAGAAUUCUACGAGCUCAGUGGUGUUGGAGGCGACAAUGAUUGCUGGUGAUGCUUGCGGCAAGGUGCAGGCCGCAAGCGCACAAUCGUCGGAGGCCUCAUUCAUGCUUUGUGCGGUCUACCUCGAGGAGGUGCGGGGCUAGGCUAUGUUGGCAGAGGCAGAGGUGAUUACAACGUCAUGCUCAUAUGCAUACCACCCUGGAUGCGUUCCCUUAUGGCUUGUCGUGCACCGCGCCUGCCCCUGCUACAAGGUGGAUCGUCCUGUCACAUAAAAAUGGACCUAAGGUCUGGAGCUCGAUUGGAGCAAAAGUUUCCCAUUGAUGAACUCAACAGUCUGGUCUUCGCUGCCAUCUCGAAUCGAAGUGGGCAAAAAGCAGAGGAUCUUUUGUUGCGAACUGGAUAUGCUCGUGUGUUUUUUUGACCUGGGAUUUUCAUUACUUAUGUUCUGACAAAUCGACAGCAAUCAUUACAGCAGCGUGACCAGGAAGAGUUCGAAAUGAUCUCAUUUCCUUCACCACAGUUAUACCCCAAGUUAGCGAACUCGAGCGCUUAUUGUAUUACAUUCUUUUACCCUGGAACAUACAUAUGUACAUAUGUAUAUUGCUGUGACACUAUAUUUAGAUAACAGUGCAACACUUGCUCACACUUAUAAUAUCGUGACAUUGUAUUUCCCGUUGCAUCGCACGGGCA